This 253-nucleotide ribosomal RNA is filed under the name uncultured bacterium. Its description in RNAcentral is "partial 16S ribosomal RNA". It matches the Rfam family "Bacterial small subunit ribosomal RNA", at positions 524 to 776 of the family's 1533-position model. The record is from RNAcentral.
UACAUGGGGUGCAAACGUUGCUCGGAAUUAUUGGGCGUAAAGCGCACGUAGGCGGUCCGUUAAGUCGGAUGUGAAAGCCCCCGGCUCAACCGGGGAAGUGCAUCCGAAACUGGCGGGCUAGAGUACGAAAGAGGGUCGCGGAAUUCCCGGUGUAGAGGUGAAAUUCGUAGAUAUCGGGAGGAACACCGGUGGCGAAGGCGGCGACCUGGGUCGGUACUGACGCUGAGGUGCGAAAGCGUGGGGAGCAAACAGG